AUGCCUUAAACUUACGUGUAAGAAAAAUAACGAUUUGGGGUGACCCCUGAAUUCUCACUGCUAAUGUGAGAUGAAUUUUUGAGCAGGUAAAGGUUGCCUCUAAGGUGACCCACCUACUUUACAGGAUGCCUGGGACUCGUGAUCUGCUCG
Molecule: small nuclear RNA, 150 nt
Filed under: Carlito syrichta (Philippine tarsier)
Lineage: Eukaryota; Metazoa; Chordata; Mammalia; Primates; Tarsiidae
Description: U12 minor spliceosomal RNA (ENSTSYG00000029028.1)
Rfam family: U12 minor spliceosomal RNA
About the family: Although the U12 sequence is very divergent from that of U2, the two are functionally analogous.
Source: Rfam by way of RNAcentral